UCCCUCGUGGUCCAGCAGCUAAGACUCCACACUCCCAAUGCAGAGGGCCAGGGUUCAAUCCCUGGUGGGGGAA
Molecule: non-coding RNA, 73 nt
Organism: Bos taurus (domestic cattle)
Lineage: Eukaryota; Metazoa; Chordata; Mammalia; Artiodactyla; Bovidae
Source: Rfam